GACGGAAGGUGCAAGCGUUGCUCGGAAUCACUGGGCGUAAAGGGUGCGUAGGCGGCGCGGUAAGUCGGGUGUGAAAUCUCGGAGCUUAACUCCGAAACUGCAUUCGAUACUGCCGUGCUUGAGGACUGGAGAGGAGACUGGAAUUUACGGUGUAGCGGUGAAAUGCGUAGAUAUCGUAAGGAAGACCAGUGGCGAAGGCGGGUCUCUGGACAGUUCCUGACGCUGAGGCACGAAGGUCAGGGGAGCAAACCGG
RNAcentral lists this ribosomal RNA (253 nucleotides) under uncultured bacterium. Its description in RNAcentral is "partial 16S ribosomal RNA". It matches the Rfam family "Bacterial small subunit ribosomal RNA", at positions 524 to 776 of the family's 1533-position model. The record is from RNAcentral.